Long non-coding RNA from Pleuronectes platessa (European plaice), 789 nucleotides. RefSeq lists it as uncharacterized. The record is from RefSeq and is a predicted model, not a curated record. The transcript is spliced from 6 exons. Lineage: Eukaryota; Metazoa; Chordata; Actinopteri; Pleuronectiformes; Pleuronectidae.
GACGUGUGGCUGUCGUAAAAACCCUAUUUGUAAACAACCAGCCCUUUAACUCGGGGCUGCGUUAUAAACACGGCGCGCUUGGAAGACCACGAUGUCAUCUUCCUUCUGUCAGGAGGAUCCAAGUGAAGCUACAGGAGUUUCAUUAACGUCAACAACUUGGACCAAACAGUUUGUUUUGCUUGAUGAAGAGCAGGAAGGGCAGCCUGGAGAGAAAGAGAAGCCGGGUUGAGCCCACUACCAUCAUCCACGUACCACGAGGAAGAUGAGGGAGAGAAAUUAUCCUACCAUUAAAGAGACUGUGAAAAGAACGUUGAGAACAUCACCACUCUACAGGAAGACACAGUCCAGUAAUGGGUGUCAGAAGUUCAGUAGUGAACGACAGAAACAAACAAUCCAAAUUACCUGCAGAAAGCCCUUGAUGGACGCUUCAGCUGCAUCGUCAGACUGGCAGUACUGAUGCAUUUACUGAGAGGGGACGUGAGGGCCUACUCUGCGUGCUCAGAGUUCAAGCCCAGCAGGCUGCAGCGGGCCUGACAUAUUCUGGAACAGCAGCACAGUCUUUGGAUGACUCCUCUGAAGAUGAAAACAUGGCGAGUUCUUCUCAAGAGAAGCAGUACAGGUGUGCCUCAGCUCCACGGUCCCUCCUGCAGCCUCCGCUCCUGAUGCUAACCUCAUGUCUCCAUCACACCAAGCAGCAGACCUGGAUUGACAGACCUUUCUCCAGAGCUGCCCCCUCCCUCUGAAACCCCCCUCUCCAAAACACUAUUUGUGUAGUUUUUAAAGUAUUUU